AUGAGCUGGAAUGUACGGGGCUUGAACUCGCCGGCAAAGAGAGAAGCAGUUAGAGAAGUAGUAGCUGCGCAUCGUACUGCCAUCCUGUGCAUGCAAGAGACCAAGAUAGAUGCUUGGUCACCAGCCCUAGUCCGUGAAAUUGGUGGCCAAACGCUGCAGGGCUGCGCUGUCAUGCCCGCAAUCGGCACCCGCGGGGGCAUUGCCAUUCUAUGGAACAAAGACCUUGUAGAUGUCGUCACACACGCCGUGGGCCAAUUUGCAGUCACGAUUAGAGUCACCGUA
RNAcentral lists this ribosomal RNA (282 nucleotides) under Triticum aestivum (bread wheat). Its description in RNAcentral is "partial small subunit ribosomal RNA". Lineage: Eukaryota; Viridiplantae; Streptophyta; Magnoliopsida; Poales; Poaceae. The record is from RNAcentral.